Non-coding RNA from Dermatophagoides farinae (American house dust mite), 420 nucleotides. The record is from RefSeq and is a predicted model, not a curated record. Lineage: Eukaryota; Metazoa; Arthropoda; Arachnida; Sarcoptiformes; Pyroglyphidae.
CAUACAUCAUGAAAAAUCAAAUCGAAUGACCAUCAAUGUGAAAUCCAAUUGUUCAUCUAAAAUCGGAAUAUCAUACAAAUGUCUAUCCAAUGUUCAUUUUUGUCUCUUGUGUUUCUUCUUCUUUUCUUAGCUAUUUUUUUUUCUUCUAAUACAAAGAUUUCAAUUUGUAUGCAUAUAUACUAUACUUGAUCAUCAACAUAAUCAUCAUCACCAUCAUCAUCGGAUAAAUCGCAUAAAAUCUUUACGAACUUAUCAACAACAUCGUCACCAUGAGAAUAUAAUCUUUAACGGUUCAUCAUCAUCAUCAUCAUCAUUAUCAAUGGGCUAAUAAUGAAUCCGUUUAAAGUUCUAUUAUUAUUAUCAACGAGAUGUAAAAAAAAACUUGAAACCGAAUGAAAUAAAACGUUUUUUUUUGCUUUA